CCUACGGGAGGCAGCAGUGGGGAAUUUUGGACAAUGGGGGCAACCCUGAUCCAGCAAUGCCGCGUGAGUGAAGAAGGCCUUCGGGUUGUAAAGCUCUUUUGUCAGGGAAGAAAAGGUUGUGGCUAAUAUCCACAACUGCUGACGGUACCUGAAGAAUAAGCACCGGCUAACUACGUGCCAGCAGCCGCGGUAAUACGUAGGGUGCAAGCGUUAAUCGGAAUUACUGGGCGUAAAGCGUGCGCAGGCGGUUUCGUAAGUCUGUCGUGAAAUCCCCGGGCUUAACCUGGGAAUGGCGAUGGAGACUGCGAGGCUAGAGUUUGGCAGAGGGGGGUAGAAUUCCACGUGUAGCAGUGAAAUGCGUAGAGAUGUGGAGGAACACCGAUGGCGAAGGCAGCCCCCUGGGUCAAAACUGACGCUCAUGCACGAAAGCGUGGGGAGCAAACAGGAUUA
RNAcentral lists this ribosomal RNA (450 nucleotides) under uncultured Duganella sp. Its description in RNAcentral is "bacterial SSU rRNA". It matches the Rfam family "Bacterial small subunit ribosomal RNA", at positions 338 to 780 of the family's 1533-position model. The record is from RNAcentral. Lineage: Bacteria; Pseudomonadati; Pseudomonadota; Betaproteobacteria; Burkholderiales; Oxalobacteraceae.